CGGCGUGCUAUACAUGCAGUCGAGCGAACAGAUAAGGAGCUUGCUCCUUUGACGUUAGCGGCGGACGGGUGAGUAACACGUGGGUAACCUACCUAUAAGACUGGGAUAACUUCGGGAAACCGGAGCUAAUACCGGAUAACAUUUGGAACCGCAUGGUUCUAAAGUGAAAGAUGGUUUUGCUAUCACUUAUAGAUGGACCCGCGCCGUAUUAGCUAGUUGGUAAGGUAACGGCUUACCAAGGCGACGAUACGUAGCCGACCUGAGAGGGUGAUCGGCCACACUGGAACUGAGACACGGUCCAGACUCCUACGGGAGGCAGCAGUAGGGAAUCUUCCGCAAUGGGCGAAAGCCUGACGGAGCAACGCCGCGUGAGUGAUGAAGGGUUUCGGCUCGUAAAACUCUGUUAUUAGGGAAGAACAAAUGUGUAAGUAACUGUGCACGUCUUGACGGUACCUAAUCAGAAAGCCACGGCUAACUACGUGCCAGCAGCCGCGGUAAUACGUAGGUGGCAAGCGUUAUCCGGAAUUAUUGGGCGUAAAGCGCGCGUAGGCGGUUUCUUAAGUCUGAUGUGAAAGCCCACGGCUCAACCGUGGAGGGUCAUUGGAAACUGGGAAACUUGAGUGCAGAAGAGGAGAGUGGAAUUCCAUGUGUAGCGGUGAAAUGCGCAGAGAUAUGGAGGAACACCAGUGGCGAAGGCGACUUUCUGGUCUGUAACUGACGCUGAUGUGCGAAAGCGUGGGGAUCAAACAGGAUUAGAUACCCUGGUAGUCCACGCCGUAAACGAUGAGUGCUAAGUGUUAGGGGGUUUCCGCCCCUUAGUGCUGCAGCUAACGCAUUAAGCACUCCGCCUGGGGAGUACGACCGCAAAGUUGAACUCAAAGGAAUUGACGGGGACCCGCACAAGCGGUGGAGCAUGAUGAUUUUAGUUCGANCACGCGACGU
Molecule: ribosomal RNA, 942 nt
Filed under: Staphylococcus saprophyticus
Lineage: Bacteria; Bacillati; Bacillota; Bacilli; Caryophanales; Staphylococcaceae
Description: bacterial SSU rRNA
Rfam family: Bacterial small subunit ribosomal RNA
Source: RNAcentral